AUGAACGCUGGCGGCGUGCCUAAUACAUGCAAGUCGAGCGAACAGACGAGGAGCUUGCUCCUCUGACGUUAGCGGCGGACGGGUGAGUAACACGUGGAUAACCUACCUAUAAGACUGGGAUAACUUCGGGAAACCGGAGCUAAUACCGGAUAAUAUAUUGAACCGCAUGGUUCAAUAGUGAAAGACGGUUUUGCUGUCACUUAUAGAUGGAUCCGCGCCGCAUUAGCUAGUUGGUAAGGUAACGGCUUACCAAGGCAACGAUGCGUAGCCGACCUGAGAGGGUGAUCGGCCACACUGGAACUGAGACACGGUCCAGACUCCUACGGGGGGCAGCAGUAGGGAAUCUUCCGCAAUGGGCGAAAGCCUGACGGAGCAACGCCGCGUGAGUGAUGAAGGUCUUCGGAUCGUAAAACUCUGUUAUUAGGGAAGAACAAAUGUGUAAGCAACUAUGCACGUCUUGACGGUACCUAAUCAGAAAGCCACGGCUAACUACGUG
Molecule: ribosomal RNA, 496 nt
Filed under: uncultured bacterium
Lineage: Bacteria
Description: partial 16S ribosomal RNA
Rfam family: Bacterial small subunit ribosomal RNA
Source: RNAcentral